This is a long non-coding RNA of Oreochromis aureus, 975 nucleotides long. NCBI's taxonomy places the organism in Eukaryota, Metazoa, Chordata, Actinopteri, Cichliformes, Cichlidae. The record is from Ensembl.
CGCGCAUCAGUGUAGCGCGUGGGGCGCGUUUGACUCGCGAAAAAAACCACGCGGGUGAAUUUUUGUGUUGCAUUUUGUGCAUACGCGUGUUUCGCCUCUACCGCUCGAGUUGGAAAAUCUGAACUCCAGCGUCAAAUCGCGCCGCGACAACCAAUCAGGAGCCUGGUGACGUGGCUGUGACCUAGGUCAAAGGGGCAGAUCCAGCCAAAACCCUUCAUUCUUUAAUGGAGGGAAGGCUAAUCAACGCCGUAGCAAACAACCCGGAGCUGUACGACACCAGCUGCUUUGUGUACCGAGACAGGAAUAUAAAGGACCGAGCUUGGAGGAAGAAAUGUGAAGAGAUCGGGCAACCUGAACCAGCUGAUUCUGCAGCAGAGCAUCCCCUGUUGCUUCUCCUUGCUCCCCAGUCCCUGAGCUCCUGCUGCUGCACCCACAGGCCUAGAGAGGAGGACAGCUCCGAGGCAGCUGAGGGACUGGUCCCAGGACGGUCCAUCGGUGGUGGAGCUGGCCAUCCUGGUGUCCCUGAAGAGGCCACGCCAGUCUCCAAUGGCGCAUUUCCUCCUCAGCCUUGUUCCUGCUCUGGAGAGCAGCUGGGUCCUUUUUAUUCCUGUCUCUCUGUAAAUACUUAUAUUUUAUAUAUUUAUGUUUAAUGUUUUUCUGUUUGAGAAUUUUAAUAUUAUUUCAAAUAAAUUUUUUAUAAUGACUAAUGUCUCAGUUCUACUACACAGCAAAUGUUGGCACACGACUUGACACAUGUAGAAUUUAUUUCAUAUUAUACUAAUGACAGAAUAUACUAAUACAGUGGGAUGCAAAAGUUUGGGCAACCUUGUUAAUAGCCAUUAUUUUCCUGUAUAAAUCGUUGGUUGUUACAAUAAAAAAUGUCAGUUAAAUAUAUCAUACAGGAGACACACACAGUGAUAUUUGUGUUAAAUGUGAUAAAUCAAGCAGGUGCAUAAAUUUGGGCACCACAAAAAA